AAAACUUUAAGUUAACAAAACUAAUAAUCUUCAAAAUUAUAAAUAAAUUUUUUAAAAUUUAAGUUUUA
RNAcentral lists this transfer RNA (68 nucleotides) under Eubasilissa splendida. RNAcentral describes it as "tRNA-Trp". Lineage: Eukaryota; Metazoa; Arthropoda; Insecta; Trichoptera; Phryganeidae. The record is from RNAcentral.